This is a long non-coding RNA of Syngnathus typhle (broad-nosed pipefish), 1347 nucleotides long. RefSeq lists it as uncharacterized. Lineage: Eukaryota; Metazoa; Chordata; Actinopteri; Syngnathiformes; Syngnathidae. The transcript has 2 exons. The record is from RefSeq and is a predicted model, not a curated record.
GAGCUCCUAGGAAUGCAGCUUUGAAGGACUGCUCGUUUUUUUGAUGUCUUCUCCCAAGUGGGAGAGAGACGCGUGGUCUUACUGCAUUCAAAGCCAAACACCAAGUAACUCAGUUGAUUGGUGCUAUUUUAUAGGUCAUCUAAAAGGUCAUUAAAUGCAAAAACAAAGUCAACUUCUCAUCUUAUAUUUGUCGUCGAGCUCCAAAUGUUACCGGGAGAUUCUGCAUUACUUUCAAACACACAAAGGGCCAAGGCUGGGAAACGACCAAUAGGAAUUUAUAUAGGUUUGAAACACGUGACCAACGAAUACUGUCCUAUGAAAAAAUACAAUACUUGACACUACCAUACACACAGUCCCAUUUAGAUUCAUUCAUGUGCUUUUUUUCCUCACCAAGUGAUGACACUUAGUCAAUUAUUACUACUUGCAAACUUUACACACAUCCCAGCAAUUGUUCCAGAUAGGCCUCAGAGGUCAGGAUGACAGCACGAAUACAAUGCAAACAACACACUCGAUUUCUUGUCAUAUCAAGGAUAUUAAUGCACACACACACACACACUCAAUACACUUCCUGUUAAAGGCUCAGGAAGUGAGUGUGGUGGUUUGUGUUCAAACUCAGUGUCACAAGUGUCGUGGGAGCAUUGAGAAAAUCUUCCGGGAGCCACGAUGAAUACAUUGACUGAAAAUCCCAGCGGGUUGUCCGGACACGUGAAGGAAGCGCAGCAGCGAUCCAAUCCGCCCACCUGCAUUCCCGGAUCCGCCUUGGAUACUUUCGCCGACUAUCUGGCCCGCGAUGUCGUCGGCCAACUCUUGCGUGGCAAAAGCAGCCGACCGGGUGGCCAAGACCCAGUUGGUGCGCUCGCCCGACAACUGGCUGGAAGCAUCAUCACUUCCUCUCUUCAAACUUUGAUAUGAGAACGAACGCUUAGGCGCCACAGUUGUUUUCACAAAAGGUCAAACGGUCCACAAGAUGGGAGCACCCUUUGGAAACUUUAACAGGAGGCCGAGCUGGCUGAGUACAGUUCCCCCCACAACCCCCAUGUUCACACCUCCAUUUCCGUUAUCACCUACUCUCUCUCUUUCAAGGAGAAGAAAUCAUUUCGCGCCCCCCCCCCCUCCCCAUGUUAUUAACAUUAAAGAAAACAAAAUAUAAAUAAAAAGGAAAGAUCAAACUUCAAUAAAGAAUACCUAUUAAUAACAUUGUUUUUUAGUCUGUAACAGAACAAAUUCCAUGUGCAUCACUUUGCCUGAAAUUAAAAAUGAAUUAUAAUUUAUUUAAACUCUAAAUAUUCUUGACCAACUGCCAUUUUAUGUUGGAAAAAAUACAAUAAAAAUACUUUUUAUCCCCUG